Molecule: long non-coding RNA, 2351 nt
Filed under: Ornithorhynchus anatinus (platypus)
Lineage: Eukaryota; Metazoa; Chordata; Mammalia; Monotremata; Ornithorhynchidae
Description: lncRNA (ENSOANG00000050366.1)
Source: RNAcentral
AUGCCUUUCCCUCGCAAGGAGAUUUUAUUUAUGUCAAAGAUUUCUUUGUCCUGCUGCUAUUCUCCAAGAAACUCUCUGCAACUCUCUGACACAUGCUCAGUCUCCACCGUGGCUCUUAGUCACAGGCUUUGUUGCUCUAACAUUCCAUCCCCAUUAUUCUCAGCCAAAGAUUCUGAUUCCGCAGUUCCACCUCCCGGGCUGAUGGAUUGCUGGCUGACAGAGUCACUGCCUCGGAAGAUUCCAUCCUAUUGGUUGACAUCUCUGCCCUCCUGCCCGGGUGAUAUAUUCUGUUAUGUGAAGAAAAGACAGGCGUGUUUUAUGAUCUCAUCUUUGGUGUCUGAGCAUCCCUUGGAAGUCAUCUGCCUUAAACUUUGGAUCCUGAUCUCUGCCCUGGGCCUGUGCAACUAAUAGACCGAACUCUGAGUGUCAUCCUACACCUUCAAAGUGGCGCUCUGACUUGAUUUCUUUCUAUGUCAGAUCUCUCACCAUCUGCUUCCCUCAUGAGUCAAUUCUUGAUUGUAGAUCAGGGUCAAAAAUACACUUCGGGUGGGUGGGUGACUGGCUCCUAUUCCCUGGUAUUGCAGUAGCAAUAGGUCCGGGGGAAGGAGGUGGAAAGAAGGGGCAAGGAAUUCUGGGCUCACGCACACAAUUUUCACGGCUCUAGUCACUACUGACUCUUUGAGCUACCGGCCCAUGGGCCGACCAGUUCUGAGGAGGGAAGGUGCUCACUAAGGAAGGAGGGGUUGCAUGGGACAGGGACACCAUUUGUCUGUGGACUCCUUGGCUUCCUCCAAUGCUCAAGACCCACCAGACCCCUAAACUGACCAUGCCUGACCCAGCCUGAGUCAAGGUGAGCCCCUGGAACAGCUUAGGCCUCCAGUGGGUUCCCCAACUCAAAUGGGGGUCCUCAGGGCCAGAGGUGAGUCGUGGGAGGAGGACUGGCAAAGGAGUGGUGAAGUGUCUUUCUCUCUCUCUCUCUCUCUCUCACACACACACACAUACACAUCCCUGUGGGCUGCUCCGACAGAAGUCCCAGAGAGUGUGCGCCCCCCAAGAAGGGGGGAACACCCAAAAUGGGGGUUGGGACAGGCACAGCUCUGCAUUAGAAAUCAGCUCUCACUGCUGUGCCCUGACAAGAUCAGCCGGCAAUGUUGGGAUUGACCUUUGCUAAAUUAUCCUGACUGAAAAGAGCCUCAGUCAAUUGAUUCUGGCCCCAGGCAAAACCUGGAUUGUUAAACUACCCUUCCAGGAUGGGCAGUGCCCUUUUAGAAGGCAGACCGCUGCUUUAUAAAACCUGCUUUUAAAAUGUUUAAUGAUUAUAUUAAGUCUUUACUAUUUCCUAAGUGCUGGAGAAGAUAUAAGGUACCUUAGAGAAGCAGCAUAGCUUAGUGGAUAGAGCAUGGGCCUGGGGGUCAGAAGGACCUGGGUUCCAACCCUAGUUCCUCCGAUUGUCUGCUGUGUGGCCUUGGGCAAGUCACUUCACUUCUCUGUGCCUCAGUUACCUCACCUGUAAAGUGGGGUUUAAGACUGCAAGCCCCAUGUGGGACAUGGACAGUGUCCAACCUGAUUAGCUUGCAUCUUUCCCAGCGUUUAGUACCGUGCCUGGCACAUAGUGAGCACUUAACAAAUACCAUAUUAAAAAAAAGUAGAUAGGACACUGUUCCCACAGGGGACUCACAAUUUAAGAGUUGGGGAGAGCAGUUAUCUUUAUUCCCUUUUACAAAUGAAGAAACAGUGGCACAGGGAGGUUAAGUGACUUGGCCAUGGUCAAACAGCAGGUCAGCACAACAGAGCUGGGACUAGAACCCAGGCCUCCUGACUCCCAGUCUAGUGCUCUUUACACUAGGCCAUGCUGCCCACUGGCAUUUUAAACACCAAUUUACAGCCCUAGCAAUGGUUUUGAGAUCCACAUUUUGUUAAAUGCUGCUAACUAGGCCUUCGGGCGACAGAUAAAACUGGAGUAAAGGGCAAGAAUUUUCAAUUAACAAAUAUUUUCAGUAAAGUAAAAAUUCCCUUCCUCUAUCUCCCGACAACAUAUAAGGAUUAAACAGUAGCCGCAACGGAUUUCCAGUGUUUUGGGGAAAGGGCUCCUGCAGUGAGACCGUUUACUUCUCAGACAAAUUCAUUCUGGGGAGAAAAUCUCCAGGGGCAAAUGCUCCAUCUUUUUAUGCUCCAGGGGAGUCAGACUGCACCUCAGGCUCCAGCCCAUCUGGUGGGUGUACAGAGUCAGGAGACAGAAACAGAAACCUAGGCGGUAAACUUGUAGGCAGGGAUUGUGUCUGUUAUAUUGUAUUCUCCUAAGCACUUAGUACAGUGUUCUGCACACAGUAAGCGCUUAAUAAAUACAAUUG